This 233-nucleotide long non-coding RNA is filed under the name Brassica napus (rape). Its description in RNAcentral is "long non-coding RNA (BNAP_LNC021541)". Lineage: Eukaryota; Viridiplantae; Streptophyta; Magnoliopsida; Brassicales; Brassicaceae. The record is from RNAcentral.
CUAGGGUCGGCCCGCCCUACGGGCGACAUAUUAGUUAAUUUGAUAUUCACUAAAUGUUCGAGUUGAAAUUUGUUUUAAGAUUCAAAAAUUUGGUUAUUUGUUAUGCGUUACUUAUUAGUAUGCGGUGGUAUAGUUGUUUUCCGAUUAUUCUUGCUUUGGUAUUGUAUCAAAUUAACUAAUUGUCCAACUCAUAAUUAUAGAUGUACAAAUGUGGAUUUGUGAUAAAGUUUGAU